This is a long non-coding RNA of Cyprinus carpio (common carp), 1438 nucleotides long. The record is from Ensembl. NCBI's taxonomy places the organism in Eukaryota, Metazoa, Chordata, Actinopteri, Cypriniformes, Cyprinidae.
UUUUGUAUACUUGUUGAUACAGGAAAUCAGCAGUCUAAUAAAGAGGUUGAUUGGCAAAAAGUAUUUUAUGUAUUUUGAAACUACAAAAAUACUAAGAUUAAAUGUAUUUAAAUACAAAAUAGUAUUUUGUAUUUCAAAUACAUGUAUUUGAAAUGCUGCCCAUCCCUGCAUGCUUUACUUUUCUUUACAUAUGUACAGUGCAGAAAAAAUGUUGAGUUGUACAAACACUUUACUAUCUGUUUAUUUUUAAGUUGCUCUGCAGAAAUGGAAAUGUUUUCAGAGUGGAAAGAGGAUGCUGUAGCCGGGCCAUCCAACAGCAGAGAAGGUGACCUGGAUGCUGUAGCCUUACCAUUCAACAGAAGAGAUGGUGAGGAUUCUGUAGCUGGACCAUUCAACAGAAGAGAUGGUGAGGAUUCUGUAGUUGGACCAUUCAACAGAAGAGAUGGUGAGGAUUCUGUAGCUGGACCAUUCAACAGAAGAGAUGGUCAGGAUGCUGUAGCUGGACCAUUCAACAGAAGAGAUGGUCAGGAUGCUGUAGCUGGACCAUUCAACAGAAGAGAUGGUGAGGAUGCUUUAGCUGGGCCAUCCAACAGAAGAGAUGGUGAGGAUGCUGUAGCUGGACCAUUCAACAGGAGAGGUUGUGAGAAUGUGGUUGCCGGACCAUUCAACAGCAGAGAAGGUAACAAAGAUGCAGUAAAAAAUGACAAUGUUAAGUAGAUGAAGACAAUCGACACAGUAGCAAGCAGAAUGUUUUUUUUUUUUAUUAUUUACUUUAGAUUGGAAGAUGAUUACCAAUCCAAAAGAGGCUGCAAAUGUCUUCCGAAAACAACUACUAAUUACUGAAGAGCAGGAACAACCCUUGCGUUUCACCUUGGAUCUCAGGGAAGACCUGGAGGAGCAGGAUAGAGAGAUGAUUUCUUUGUACAAGCGACCAAAUGUCAACUGGGCUAGGCCAUUUUCCUGUAUGCUCAGAGGUGAUGCCGCCACAGGUGAAGGGGUGAGCCGUCACAUUCUUAGUACUGCAAUCCUAAAACUGACACAAGGCUUCAGGAUAAACUUUGCUAACACAGACACAACCUUGUUAUUUGAGGGUGAGUCAGAUCAUCUUGUGCCCUCUACAUCCCAAAUUCUUGUGGAAAGUGACAUGUUCCUGAUGGCUGGGAGGAUGGUUGGUCACUCCUUCAUCCAUGGUGGUCCUUGUUUGUCAGGGAUCAGUCCUGCUGUGAUCCAUGUUUUACUUGGGCGGCCAGCUGAAACAGCCACAAUUCAGCUACAAGACUGCCCAGACCUAGAUCAUCGUGCAACUAUACAGUUGGUAUGCGGAGGUUUUCUUUCAUGUCAUUUGUAUGAUUUAAUUUUUUUUUAUUUCAAAAUAACUGUUUCCAACAGCUUGAGGGAGAUGAUGAACUUUCAGAUCAGGACAAGAAGGCUGUCCUAG